AUUGAACGCUGGCGGAAUGCUUUACACAUGCAAGUCGAACGGCAGCACGGACUUCGGUCUGGUGGCGAGUGGCGAACGGGUGAGUAAUGUAUCGGAACGUGCCCAGUCGUGGGGGAUAACGUAGUGAAAAUUACGCUAAUACCGCAUACGAUCUAUGGAUGAAAGCGGGGGAUCGCAAGACCUCGCGCGAUUGGAGCGGCCGAUAUCAGAUUAGGUAGUUGGGGGGGUAAAGGCCCACCAAGCCAACGAUCCGUAGCUGGUCUGAGAGGACGACAAGCCACACUGGAACUGAGACACGGUCCAGACUCCUACGGGAGGAAGCAGUGGGGAAUUUUGGACAAUGGGCGAAAGCCUGAUCCAGCCAUUCCGCGUGCAGGAUGAAGGCCCUCGGGUUGUAAACUGCUUUUGUACAGAACGAAAAGGUUUCUACUAAUACUAGGAGCUCAUGACGGUACUGUAAGAAUAAGCACCGGCUAACUACGUGCCAGCAGCCGCCGUAA
This 500-nucleotide ribosomal RNA is filed under the name uncultured bacterium. RNAcentral's name for it is "partial 16S ribosomal RNA". It matches the Rfam family "Bacterial small subunit ribosomal RNA", at positions 30 to 523 of the family's 1533-position model. The record is from RNAcentral.